Molecule: ribosomal RNA, 497 nt
Filed under: uncultured bacterium
Lineage: Bacteria
Description: partial 16S ribosomal RNA
Rfam family: Bacterial small subunit ribosomal RNA
Source: RNAcentral
GAUGAACGCUGGCGGCGUGCCUAAUACAUGCAAGUCGAGCGAACAGAUGAGGAGCUUGCUCCUCUGACGUUAGCGGCGGACGGGUGAGUAACAAGUGGAUAACCUACCUAUAAGACUGGGAUAACUUCGGGAAACCGGAGCUAAUACCGGAUAAUAUAUUGAACCGCAUGGUUCAAUAGUGAAAGACGGUUUUGCUGUCACUUAUAGAUGGAUCCGCGCCGCAUUAGCUAGUUGGUAAGGUAACGGCGUACCAAGGCAACGAUGCGUAGCCGACCUGAGAGGGUGAUCGGCCACACUGGAACUGAGACACGGUCCAGACUCCUACGGCGGGCAGCAGUAGGGAAUCUUCCGCAAUGGGCGAAAGCCUGACGGAGCAACGCCGCGUGAGUGAUGAAGGUCUUCGGAUCGUAAAACUCUGUUAUUAGGGAAGAACAAGGGUGUAAGUAACUAUGCACGUCUUGACGGUACCUAAUCAGAAAGCCACGGCUAACUACGUG